UAAAACUGUUGUUGUCAAACCUUGUCCUCCCAGCUAUAUUGGUGUAGGUCUCACACUCUGUUGGUAUUGAUGGAGGGUAAUGGUAUCAGUCUGCAGGUAUUGAUGGCUGGUAUAGGUCUCACUCUCUGCUGGUAUUGAUGGAUGGUAUAGGUCUCACACUCUACUGGUAUUGAUGGAUGGUAUAGGUCUCACUCUCUGCUGGUAUUGAUGGAUGGCAUAGGUCUCACUCUGCUGGUAUUGAUGGCUGGUAUAGGUCUCACUCUGCUGGUAUUGAUGGGUGGUAUAGGUCUCACACUCUGCUGGUAUUGAUGGAUGUUAUUAGUCUCACACUCUGCUGGUAUUGAUGACUGGUAUAGGUCUCACACUCUGCUGGUAUUGAUGGAUGGUAUUGGUCUCACUCCACUGGUAUUGAUGGAUGUAUAGGUCUCACACUCUGAUGGUAUUGAUCGAUGGUAUUGGUCUCACUCCACUGGUAUUGAUGGAUGGUAUAGGUCUCACACUCUGAUGGUAUUGAUGGUUGGUAUAGGUCUCACUCUGCUGGUAUUGAUGGAUGGUAUUGGUCUCACUCCACUGGUAUUGAUGGAUGGUAUAGGUCUCACUCUCUGCUGGUAUUGAUGGAUGGUAUAGGUCUCACACUCUGCUGGUAUUGAUGGAUGGUAUAGGUCUCACACUCUGAUGGUAUUGAUGGAUGGUAUAGGUCUCACUCUGCUGGUAUUGAUGGGUGGUAUAGGUCUCACACUCUGAUGGUAUUGAUGGAUGGUAUAGGUCUCACACUCUGCUGGUAUUGAUGGAUGGUAUAGGUCUCACACUCUGAUGGUAUUGAUGGAUGGUAUUGGUCUCACUCCACUGGUAUUGAUGGAUGGUAUAGGUCUCACACUCUGAUGGUAUUGAUGGUUGGUAUAGGUCUCACUCUGCUGGUAUUGAUGGAUGGUAUUGGUCUCACUCCACUGGUAUUGAUGGAUGGUAUAGGUCUCACACUCUGAUGGUAUUGAUGGAUGGUAUAGGUCUCACUCUGCUGGUAUUGAUGGAUGGUAUUGGUCUCACUCCACUGGUAUUGAUGGAUGGUAUAGGUCUCACACUCUGAUGGUAUUGAUGGUAUAGGUCUCACUGUUAGAUGGUAUAGGUC
Molecule: long non-coding RNA, 1126 nt
Filed under: Salmo salar (Atlantic salmon)
Lineage: Eukaryota; Metazoa; Chordata; Actinopteri; Salmoniformes; Salmonidae
Description: lncRNA (ENSSSAG00000088319.1)
Source: RNAcentral